UGACCGGCUAUAGCCCAGCGGUUACUUCAGCUGCAUUGUGUCCUGCCUUCAUGGCGCCCCGACAGGGGAUCGAACCCGCGGGCACCCCUGGCCCUUUU
This 98-nucleotide vault RNA is filed under the name Tauraco erythrolophus (red-crested turaco). It matches the Rfam family "Vault RNA". From Rfam's summary of the family: This family of RNAs are found as part of the enigmatic vault ribonucleoprotein complex. The complex consists of a major vault protein (MVP), two minor vault proteins (VPARP and TEP1), and several small untranslated RNA molecules. Lineage: Eukaryota; Metazoa; Chordata; Aves; Musophagiformes; Musophagidae. The record is from Rfam by way of RNAcentral.